GUAGGUGGCAAGCGUUGUCCGGAAUUAUUGGGCGUAAAGCGCGCGCAGGGCGGUCCUUUAAGUCUGAUGUGAAAGCCCACGGCUCAACCGUGGAGGGUCAUUGGAAACUGGGGGACUUGAGUACAGAAGAGGAAAGCGGAAUUCCAAGUGUAGCGGUGAAAUGCGUAGAGAUUUGGAGGAACACCAGUGGCGAAGGCGGCUUUCUGGUCUGUAACUGACGCUGAGGCGCGAAAGCGUGGGGAGCAAACAGGAUUAGAUACCCUGGUAGUCCACGCCGUAAACGAUGAGUGCUAAGUGUUAGGGGGUUCCCGCCCCUUAGUGCUGCAGCUAACGCAUUAAGCACUCCGCCUGGGGAGUACGGCCGCAAGGCUG
Molecule: ribosomal RNA, 372 nt
Filed under: uncultured organism
Description: partial 16S ribosomal RNA
Rfam family: Bacterial small subunit ribosomal RNA
Source: RNAcentral